UACGUAGGGUGCGAGCGUUAAUCGGAAUUACUGGGCGUAAAGUGUGCGCAGGCGGCCGAGCAAGUCGAGUGUGAAAGCCCCGAGCUUAACUUGGGAACUGCGCUCGAAACUACUUGGCUAGAGUGUGGCAGAGGGAGGUGGAAUUCCACGUGUAGCGGUGAAAUGCGUAGAGAUGUGGAGGAACACCAGUGGCGAAGGCGACUCUUUGGUCUGUAACUGACGCUGAGGCGCGAAAGCGUGGGGAGCAAACAGG
RNAcentral lists this ribosomal RNA (253 nucleotides) under uncultured bacterium. RNAcentral's name for it is "partial 16S ribosomal RNA". It matches the Rfam family "Bacterial small subunit ribosomal RNA", at positions 524 to 776 of the family's 1533-position model. The record is from RNAcentral.